This 177-nucleotide ribosomal RNA is filed under the name uncultured Bacillus sp. RNAcentral describes it as "partial 16S ribosomal RNA". The record is from RNAcentral. Lineage: Bacteria; Bacillati; Bacillota; Bacilli; Caryophanales; Bacillaceae.
ACGUAGUUAGCCGUGGCUUUCUGGUUAGGUACCGUCAAGGUGCCAGCUUAUUCAACUAGCACUUGUUCUUCCCUAACAACAGAGUUUUACGACCCGAAAGCCUUCAUCACUCACGCGGCGUUGCUCCGUCAGACUUUCGUCCAUUGCGGAAGAUUCCCUACUGCUGCCUCCCGUAGG